AAGAACGAACGCUGGCGGCGCGUUUUAAGCAUGCAAGUCGAGCGGCAAGGGCCUUCGGGCCCCUAGAGCGGCAGACGGGUGAGUAACACGUGGACAAUCUGCCCCCCGGCCCGGGAUAGCCCAGGGAAACCUGGAUUAAUACCGGAUGAGACGGGACCCGCGAUGGCGGGAUCCGGGAAAGGCGCUGCGGCGCCGCCGGGGGAUGAGUCUGCGUCCCAUUAGCUAGACGGCGGGGUAACGGCCCACCGUGGCGACGAUGGGUAGCCGGCCUGAGAGGGUGGACGGCCACAUUGGAACUGAGACACGGUCCAGACUCCUACGGGAGGCAGCAGCUAAGAAUCUUCCGCAAUGGGCGAAAGCCUGACGGAAGCGACGCCGCGUGAACGAAGAAGGCCGUGAGGUUGUAAAGUUCUUUUCGGGAGGGGAACAACCGUGGCAGGGAAUGGCCGCGGGAUGACGUGAAUCCCGGAAUAAGCCCCGGCUAACUACGUGCCAGCCGCCGC
RNAcentral lists this ribosomal RNA (503 nucleotides) under uncultured bacterium. Its description in RNAcentral is "bacterial SSU rRNA". It matches the Rfam family "Bacterial small subunit ribosomal RNA", at positions 26 to 518 of the family's 1533-position model. The record is from RNAcentral.